Molecule: long non-coding RNA, 371 nt
Organism: Lotus japonicus
Lineage: Eukaryota; Viridiplantae; Streptophyta; Magnoliopsida; Fabales; Fabaceae
Exons: 2
Source: RefSeq, a predicted model, not a curated record
AGGGAGAAAUCAGAAUUUGAGAAUUGGAGAAGUUAGCAGAGGAGAAGAAAAGAAGCGUGAAAGAGAGAAGGGGAGAAAAGAGAAGAAAAAAACCUAGAAUUUGAUCUUCAAGAGGUACAGGAGGUAGAGAUGUGGCUCAUGAGGAGUAGCUUCGGAGAGUCUUAGCUUAUGUUAUUAUUAUUAUUAUUAUUAUUAUAAAAUAAGUGUCUUGCUCUGUAAUGUAACACUGGUUAGAUAUUUUACGUUACUUUUACAUUUAUGUUGAGAGGAUUUUAUAAUCUCUUCUUAUGGAAGUUGUUGAAUAAUUUUCUAAAUGAUGGCGAUGUCGUACUGUUGACGGCCGAAGUGCUUAUGAAAUUCAGUUCUGAGUA